RNAcentral lists this ribosomal RNA (424 nucleotides) under uncultured prokaryote. RNAcentral describes it as "bacterial SSU rRNA". It matches the Rfam family "Bacterial small subunit ribosomal RNA", at positions 355 to 796 of the family's 1533-position model. The record is from RNAcentral.
UGGGGAAUCUUGGACAAUGGGCGCAAGCCUGAUCCAGCCAUGCCGCGUGAGUGAUGAAGGCCCUAGGGUCGUAAAGCUCUUUCGCCAGGGAUGAUAAUGACAGUACCUGGUAAAGAAACCCCGGCUAACUCCGCGCCAGCAGCCGCGGUAAUACGGAGGGGGUUAGCGUUGUUCGGAAUUACUGGGCGUAAAGCGCGCGUAGGCGGAUUGGAAAGUUGGGGGUGAAAUCCCGGGGCUCAACCCCGGAACUGCCUCCAAAACUCCCAGUCUUGAGUUCGAGAGAGGUGAGUGGAAUUCCGAGUGUAGAGGUGAAAUUCGUAGAUAUUCGGAGGAACACCAGUGGCGAAGGCGGCUCACUGGCUCGAUACUGACGCUGAGGUGCGAAAGUGUGGGGAGCAAACAGGAUUAGAUACCCCCGUAGUCC